CCCUAAUCCCGUCCCUCUCUCUCUCUCUCUCUCUCUCUCUCUCUCUCUCUCGGCUGCCUUCGGCUCUCUCCAGCAGCAGCAACUCGAUAACCCAUCAGGUUCUUGCAGAGGAAAACCAUCGUGAAAUUGUGGAAUUCUGCAUUAAGGAAGGCUUGGUUCUUCAGCACAUGAAUUUGGGCUACUAGACUGAAUCUCAUGGAGGGGAAUUCUCAUACCUUGAUGCCAUGAUGAGGGAGUCUUGUUUAAUCUAUAGUGGUUGUGGAAGUGAUAAGUUCUCAUAUCAGGCCCCAUUGACAUGCCUUUAUCCACCAUCUCAUACUUUGUGGAUGCAUCUCUCUCUCCAUUCCUUAACAUUGGAAGUUCCUUUUUGCUCAAUGAAAAGAUUGAAGUUUGACUAUUUCUUAAGAAGAAAGGAUAUUCAACUAAUGAUAGCGCAAGUUAAAAGAGUUGGGAAUCAAGUCCAAGUUCUCUCACUUCUCCAUCCCAAUGUUGCUCUUGUUAGAAGGCUGCCUUUUGAAUGAUAGAGACAGAGCGAUGUCCAUGGGUUUGGAGUUUUGCUGCUGGAGCUCUUAACUGGGCUGAAACCUUUUGACAGGGCUGGCAUCUCACCCUUGAGUUUCGUUUAAUACAUUCAUGUUUAUGAAUUGGCUUCGGUAUAUAUGUUCCAACCCAUUAAUUAUCUUUCAUUGCAUUUGGUGUUUUCUUUCUUUUUUCUUUUUAAGACCAUUCCAUCUUUCCUUAUUGCUUUCCUGAGUUAAUAAUCAUAUCUUGAGUGCUUAAUCCUUUAAUCCACUUUUUUUUUUUUUUUUUUUCUGUGACGCCAGUGCAUGCCAUUCCAGCCUUGCUUUUCAUUUGUCUAAACAUUUGAUUCUCUAUUGGUGUUCAUUUGUCUCAACAUUUGAUUCUCUAUUUUUUAUUUUUUUAUUUUUCUGUGAUGCCAGUACCUGCCUGCUCAGUUUAUUACUAAAAAAACUCCCUUUCAAAUUCAGAUUAUUGAAACCAACCAAGGUUCCAAACCCCGCCCUUCUUCAACCUCAGUUGCAGGAUCCUUGUAAUAGGUGCUGCUCCCGCUUCGAAUCAUGCUUCAGACUCGUGCUCAUGUCCCACUUCCUAGACAUAUACACUUGAUAACAUUUGCGGACAGACACCUCCCUGCUCCUACAUCUGAAUCUGUUGUCUCUCUUGCCUCACGCUUCGUG
Molecule: long non-coding RNA, 1199 nt
Organism: Magnolia sinica
Lineage: Eukaryota; Viridiplantae; Streptophyta; Magnoliopsida; Magnoliales; Magnoliaceae
Exons: 3
Source: RefSeq, a predicted model, not a curated record